Molecule: ribosomal RNA, 375 nt
Filed under: uncultured bacterium
Lineage: Bacteria
Description: bacterial SSU rRNA
Rfam family: Bacterial small subunit ribosomal RNA
Source: RNAcentral
UAAGACGUAGGAGGCGAGCGUUAUCCGGAUUCACUGGGCGUAAAGCGCAUGUAGGCGGUUGGAUAAGUCUGUUGUUAAAGCCCCCGGCUCAACUGGGGGAGGUCAAUGGAGACUGUCCGACUUGAGGGCAACAGAGGCACAUGGAACUCCCGGUGUAGCGGUGGAAUGCGUAGAGAUCGGGAAGAACACCCGUGGCGAAGGCGGUGUGCUGGGUUGCAACUGACGCUGAGAUGCGAAAGUGUGGGGAGCAAACGGGAUUAGAUACCCCGGUAGUCCACACUGUAAACGAUGAACCCUAGGUGUGGGGGGAUAAAACCCUCUGUGCCGAAGCCAACGCGUUAAGGGUUCCGCCUGGGGACUAUGAGCGCAAGCUUA